UGUAGGCGGUUUGGUAAGUCUGGUGUGAAAUCUCCCGGCUCAACUGGGAGGGUGCGCCGGAAACUGCCGGACUCGAGUGCGGGAGAGGAAAGUGGAAUUCCUGGUGUAGCGGUGAAAUGCGUAGAUAUCAGGAGGAACACCGGUGGUGUAGACGGCUUUCUGGACCGUAACUGACGCUGAAACACGAAAGCGUGGGUAGCAAACAGGAUUAGAUACCCUGGUAGUCCACGCCCUAAACGAUGCACAUUUGGUGUGGGUCAUUCAGUUGAUCCGUGCCGGAGCUAACGCGUUAAAUGUGCCGCCUGGGGAGUACAGUCGCAAGGCUGAA
RNAcentral lists this ribosomal RNA (328 nucleotides) under uncultured bacterium. RNAcentral describes it as "bacterial SSU rRNA". It matches the Rfam family "Bacterial small subunit ribosomal RNA", at positions 570 to 898 of the family's 1533-position model. The record is from RNAcentral.